CCGCCUCGUUCUCCUCCCUCGACAGCGCCGCACCUCCUCCCUCAUUCCUGCUCGUCCGGAUAGCCGCCGGCCGCCGCAUCCCUUCUCCCCCUUCCUCCUCCUUCCUCCUUCCCGCUGGCGCUGACGAGGGGGCCUCUCGCAUGGACGGCCGGGGCUUCAAACCAGGGGGGGCCAAGAAAGCCGGCCGGCGGCGGUCGGGGCGGGCGCGGAGAGGGCCGAUGCGGCGGCCGCGGGCGGGGCGGUGGCGGCCAAGGCAAGGGAGGAUGAGCAGCAGCAGCAGCAGCGUCUCCAUGGACGCGGCGGCGUGACGGCUUCCAGGCACGGAUCCCCUCCUCCGCCUCCAUCCUCCACCUCUCCGGUCGCCCGGUUGCAACGCAGCAGCUCCUUCCUACCUUCCAUGGACGAACUCGACGGAGACGCCGUCCAGCCCGACCACGGCCACGACUACCCCACGCACAAGAAAGGUAGUUAUUGUGAAUUGAUGUUCGCACUGAGGCCGGAGGCGAGAGGCGAGGGCACGAAGGUCGACGGCAAGUGCUCAGGAGAGAAGAGGAAGGCGGCGGUGGCUGCGGUUUACACGAGAGCCAGGUGACCUGCCCAGAAAGGUAGUUACAGUGAAUUGAUGUUCAUAUGAACUUCAAUGCUGUGACGUUUUUAUUAGAUCUGAGUUGCAAUCCUCAAUUUUUUUAGGUUUGAGUAGCAAUGUUCCUGCUCUACUAGCUAUGACAUUUUCCAUGUUUUUUCUUCUAAUAUCGUAUUGCCUCCAUGCUUAUGGGUUCAACUUGACAAGCUUUUUUCAUCUUACAUCCUGUUUUAAGCUCUGUUGAUGGUUGAUUUCUGCCAUGUUUAUGGAGGGAGAGGACGCCAAGUACUAGGAGAAGGAUCAGUUUAGCAAGUAGAGGCUGUAAUUCUCUUAUGAUUAUGGAUCUGAGGAUGAAGAGAAGAUAUGGGUUAACUUUCGGAGUGAUUGAGUUGGUCAAAAAAAUUGAAGCACAUCAAAGGGGCUUGUUGCUUGGCUGCUAUGGAGAAGGGUAUUCUUUGAAGGAGUUGUAGACCUUUUGGAUAUGCUUCAAUUUGGACACUUUUUCAGUAUGUAUAUGAUAUGGGCAGGAAAUGAAAAACUUAAUGUGGCUGGAGUUCUACGCGGAUUAAAUCUAAUUAUCCUUAUAUUUCAACUCCAAUGACUCGGCCUCACAUGAAUGCGGUUUUGGGCAUGUGUUUCGGUUCAUUCGGUUUCGACGGAAUCAAAGGUCAGGAAAAAUAUAUAGGUGUUAGUUCAUUAUCUUUUCAGGUUUCUUAAUUAUUCAUACAUUUGCAUCUAUGUUACAGGUGUUAGCUUUCAUGGCUAGGAUUUUUUUAGCAUAUUCAAAUCUGUAUUAGAAUAAGGUUUCCCCCUUGGAUGUUCCUUAUGUAUCCAUAUAUUAGAUUUUUUGUGUGGUUCAUUUGUUGCAAAUAUAUAAAUAAUAAUCUGAUUGACUAUAUGCAGAUUUGGUUUGAAAUCUUCAAGCAGUCUCUGACAAGUUGUAGGUGAAGAAGAUCAUGUCCUAGGAGUUAUAUGCACGUGGAGUACAUUUAUUGUAUGCAUUUUGUUUAGAAGUAUUCAGUUUCAUAGCAUAAUCAAGUGUUUUUCAAUACUCUCUCUCUCACACACACACAAAAUGUCUUUAAUUUCUGUUUUUUUAAUGUAUUGGCCUCUGAAUGAUCUGCAUGGUAUAUAUCUAUAUCGCUGAAUGACCUCGACUUGUACCUUUGUGGUUUGCAAACACUAAAACAUGUGUUGCUACAGAGUUAUCUUAAUUUUAACGUUGAUCGGUGCAGGUGGGUUCUCAUGGUAGGAUUUGAUCCACUCGGAUAUCAAUGGUACUGAUACUUAAGUUGGCUUUCUUUAAAAAAAUAAAUCCUUGUCGGAGUUUGGGUACUGCACUUUAUAAUGCAAAGGAAUGGUAUAAACUAUAGCUGGUUCUUUCAUGUAGUAUGCCUUUUUCUAUAAUUUGAUUGCACAUGUGGAGGGCUUCUGGAUGCAUUUAUUGUCUCAUGUCACAAGGAUUUACAACUUUUACGAGAAUGCGGGUGUAGAGUAUUGAUAAUUCCAGAUGGCUCACUUCCUACAAUAGAGCACCCUACAGUACUAUCAAUUAUUCAGUCAGAGAACCACACUAUGCUGAAUAUAUUGGUGGAUCAGGUACAUCGAUAAGCACCCAAUGUUCAGUCAGAUGAAGAGAGUGAAAAUAUAUUGGUGGAUCAGGUACAUUGACAAGCACCCAAUGUUCAGUCAGAUGAAGAGAGUGAAAACAGCGUUUACUCUGAAUUUUCAGACAGAGUGGCGAUGCAGCUGGAAGUUUGAGGCACUGGAUUCCCCCUGACGGAGGAACAAUCAAGUUAAAUUUAGAUGCUUCAUUCUUUGCUGAGACUUGGAGGAGCUAUAUCGGGGCCAUCGCCGGUUUUUUUUUUUUUUGGUGUUUCUUCUAUUUAUCCAAGAGCAUUGACAAAUGUAGUUCUGUGGAAGAGGCUGAGGCUCAGGCGAUGCUAGAUGGAUUGACAGCUCUGACAUCUAUGUACAACAAUGUCUGUUUCCCAACUUCAUGCGACAUUAAGACCAGCUCUUCGUCUGUUCUUGUCCAAGUCCGGGCAGCAGAACCAGUAUACCAUCGCCCAUGCCCUUGGUGUGUGUGUGCCAGAACUAAAGAGAACAUACUCAAGAUUGCAGAUAUCCCAGCGGAGUUACAUGGGGCAGUUAAAUCUGAUUGUAAGCAAGGUUCCCGAGUAGUUUCUACUCUGUAUCUAAAACAUGCAUCCGAUGGAAAAAACUAUUAAUAUUGCGAUGUAUUUCAGGAAGUGGAUUAGGAGCACUCGGGUGCUCUACCCCCCUGCGUAGCACCCGAGAGCUCCUAUGCAUUUUCGUGCA
This is a non-coding RNA of Triticum aestivum (bread wheat), 2905 nucleotides long. The record is from RefSeq and is a predicted model, not a curated record. Lineage: Eukaryota; Viridiplantae; Streptophyta; Magnoliopsida; Poales; Poaceae.